CUUCAUGGAGGCAGGGGGUUUCGUUCAUUGCACUACUCCCAGUGCUUGGAAUGGUGCCUGGGACUCUAUAAGUGCUUUAGAUGGGUGUCUCGCUGUGUUAUCCAGGCUGAUCUCAAACUCCUGGCUUCAAGUGAUCCUCCCAUAUUGGCCUCCCAAAGUGCUGGGAUUACAGGUGUGAGCCACGGCACCCUGCCGAAUCUUUGAGUCUGGACACCAGUAGGUGGUCAUGGUCCAGUUCCUUGCCCAGAUGCCCACAGGGACUUCCAGCUUCCAGGCUGCAAUCACAGAGAAUGAAGAAGGAAGGCUGUUCGAGAAAUAUGGGCAGCUCUUACAGGAAAGCCCCCCAGCCUCUAACAGGCCCUCUCUGGGCACCGAAGGUGCCAGUGGUCUUCCAAGGCCCGGGAUGUGCCCUGGACGUGAUUGCUCUCCUGGGUCUUGUCUUGCUGCUCUUUGCCCCCGCCCUCCUCCUCUCUACCUGAUGGUGCCAGGUAAGGCUUCAGGCAUGGCAGAGGCUGAACUGAGAGCCACCCUACCUUGUUCCUGUGGCUCCAUCCCCCUAUCCACACCCAAGAGAUGAGAUCCUGGGGCAGUUGGCAUCUGACAGCCUGGCAUCGACUCAUGCCAACAGCUUGGAAGCUGCAGUAAUUAGAAGGGGAGAGGGAGAGAGGGGGAGAGAAGGAGAGCGAAAGCAAGCUCUAGAGAGAAACCUUCUCCUGCCUGCCGCAGGGCAAACUACUUCAAACGAAUUCGUUUCGCUCUUGUGAAACUGAAGACAAUUUCCUUUUCUGUCAUAAAACAAAUUAUUGCUCAUCAGGA
Homo sapiens (human) is the source of this 816-nucleotide long non-coding RNA. The record is from Ensembl. Lineage: Eukaryota; Metazoa; Chordata; Mammalia; Primates; Hominidae.